Molecule: long non-coding RNA, 2155 nt
Organism: Oxyura jamaicensis (ruddy duck)
Lineage: Eukaryota; Metazoa; Chordata; Aves; Anseriformes; Anatidae
Exons: 2
Source: RefSeq, a predicted model, not a curated record
GUGAUUAACCAAGUGGGUGGCACUUCCUGUGAUCUCUUCACUCUGCUUGUUGCCCAAGCAAAGCAGAUCAAAGCCAAAUCAAACGUAUUCUGUGCUACGAACAGACCCCUAGCAGAGGUAGACAAGCGUGGCCACUCCACUGCUGGGUUAUACAAAAAAUCUAUCACCUUCUCUGAGGUCACUGAAAUUAUAACACCCUUGUAAUUUAACCUGUUUAUUUGUCAAGUAAACAGAUAAAUUAUACUACCAUAAAACGGAGAUGCAUCUAAAGAAAGUGGCAGCUCUCCAGGUAAAAAGAAUCAGCCAUCUGCUCUAAGAAAAUCUAAUAAAGCCCAGUGACAGAUCACUUCAGUUAUUGAGAGAAACUUGGAACAGUGGGGCAGAAAUCAGCCGUGUGAAACUGGAGGAGUCGCACAACAGACAGGUUGCACAUAAUCUGAAAGGCAGUUCAUCAUUUGCUUUGCCACCUGCAGAUUCAACGUGUACCUUAAGUCACAACUUUCAAAAUUGCUAUUAUUAUUAUUAAUCCUGGCUGAGACAUACAACUUUGAGAACGUCUUUAGUUCAUAAACCUUAAGUCACAACUUUCAAAAUUGUUAUCAUUAAUCCUGGCUGAGACUUACAACUCUGAGAACAUCUUCAGUUAUAAACCUUUGGGGUUUUGAGCAUUACUAGACAAAGGAGUAGAUAAGACAGACGGAGCAAAUGAGACCUAUUUUGUCUUUUGGAGUGAUUUUUCUGCUUAAUGAAUUUUCAGAUAGCCAAUUUGUCACGUUUGGAGCAAAGGUAUUUAAGAGUCUGGAGGUUAAUUAGAAAAACAACAGCUGACUUUACUGAAAGAGUUUAAUUCAACUAUAUGAACAGAGACAAACUGUUUUCAACCUAGAAGAUCUGUUUGGAGCUGGUUUGUGCUGGAAUGUCACCCACACAAAUCUUGCAAGAGAACAUUAAGUGACAAUACACUGAAAAUGAAGAAGCUCAUGUUGGAACAAAAUCUCUGUGGCUGAAAAAAAAAAAUCGCUUACAGGAGGAAACAUUUAAAUUCCAGUUUCUAAUUUAGCUAUUACCUAAUUAAAUAUAAAAGUAGCUUGAAGUAUUUUAACCUUUUUUGCAAACAUCCUCACACAAACCAAAUUUCUUGUCACCACAUUGGUUUUUUUCAUGCUUUUCUCUUUUGUUUAGCUCUUACCUCAGGCCCUGUUCCAGGACAGGGUGUUAAAUCUUUAAGCUGGCUCUGUGUUGUAAACCAACUGGCGAUUUAAGGUUAGGACUUUGUGUCCUAAAAAAAAUGUUAAUAUUUGUAUAAACAGUAGACUCAGGUCUCUACAGCCCCAGGGCACCUGUGCAAGUCCUUCCUUCCCCAGAGCCCAACCCAGUUUCCUUCUGUUGGCUGAAAUUAGCAAUGAUGAACACAUAAAUGAGCAAAUACCCACACCCCUCCAAAACAAAACAAAACAAAACAAAACAAAACAAAAUUUACUUAGGGCUGCAACUCCUCUUUAAAUAUCUUCCUCUCUAGCACUGUCAUUUUCUCUCCCUACAGUGAAUGUCUUAGACACGUGCAAUGGAAAACACCAUCUCUCACAAUGGAAGACGUUCAAAAUCUAGACUGGGAAAGAGGAAUUUUCUCCACAAUAUACACUUUAUACAGACAGCAAUGCAUACCCCUAGAGUCUGAUCUUUCUGCUAUUAGAAAAGUCAUGUCUCUUGCUACUGAAUCACUACAUAAACAGUGCCUGUGGCUCAAGGGGCACCCUCAGGCUCCCCACAUGCCAAACAAAGGAAGACUAAUUUUCUGCCUGUAGAAACAGGAGUGCUGGGGCAUAGAAUCCCUGGAUACUACAAUCCACUUAAACCUACACUGCAUUAAGGAGGAUUCUGCAUUAAGGAGGACUCUGCUAUUUAGGAGAGAAACAGAGUAAGGAGCAGGUAGGAUCCUGUACUCCUGGUGCUCACUAUCACUCAAGAAUGCUGCAGAGAAAUAAGAAAGAAUGGAAAUAGAACCAAAAAAAAAAAAAAAAAAGGGGGAGAGGGGAAAAUCCUGGAUCUGCUGAGGCCAAUGGUAAAGAGAUUUCUUGCUUACCUAUGUUACCUAUGUUUUCCUCUAAAGGAGCAACAUAAAUGCAGAGAUUUACUCUGCACAUAGAAAAAAAAA